This is a non-coding RNA of Microcebus murinus (gray mouse lemur), 1953 nucleotides long. The record is from RefSeq and is a predicted model, not a curated record. NCBI's taxonomy places the organism in Eukaryota, Metazoa, Chordata, Mammalia, Primates, Cheirogaleidae.
ACAUAAGUUACCCCCAAGCCUAGCAGCUUAAAACAACAAACAUUUAUUAUCAUACAGUUUCUGAAGGUCAAGGAUUGGGACCUCAGGCCAUGAGGUUGCAGUCAAGCUGUUGACUGGGUUUGCCAUAUCUCAGGGCUCAACUCGGGUUGAGGGAUCAACUUUACUGGUGUGGUUGUUGGCAGGUCUCAGUUCCUCCUUGUUCUUCAUUUGAUGGGUUGCUAUGCAGGGCUAUCUGAGUUUCUCAAGACAGGGCACGGGGUUUUCCCCAGAACCAGAGAGCUAGACAGACAGACAGACAGAUAGUCAGGGAGGGAUGUCUAAACAAAAGCUGCAGUCUUUCGUUUUAGAAGCAACAGAACCUCAUAUCUCCCUAUGGUGUUAGUCACAUGGUACAAUGUGGGAGGGAAUAGCACAAGGGUGUGAACACAGGAGGUAGGAUCAUGGGGCCAUCUUGGCUACUGGCUACUCACAUCAACCCAUCCCGAUGUUUAGACUCAUUUGGAUCCCGAUUCAAAGAAACAACUUCCUUAAAAUGGCAUUUAUGAGGUAUUUGAACACAUGCUUGCUGUUUGAUAAUAUUAAGGCAUUACCAUCAAUUAGUUUAGGCAGGAUAAUGAUAUCAGGUUUUUUGUGUGUGUGCGUGCAUGUAAGUGUUGAUUGCUUGAGGAUAAUGAUAUUGUGGCUGUAAUUAUUUUAAAGCAUUCUUAGCUUUUACAGAGCCAUAUAGAAAUGUUUACCGUGUCCCAGCUGAGGAGCGAACAGCCGCUGGCAGCCACGGAUCUCACCGCAGCUCUGAGUUUUUAGAACUUCAAUUAUAAAAAUGGGCAGAAUUUUUCUUGAUCAUAUUGGUGGUACCGGUCUGUUUUCUUGUGCAAACUGUGAUACGAUCCCGACCAACCGUUUGGAACUCAUCUCCACUCCAUUCACAGGCGCCACUGGCAGGGCAUUUCUUUUUAACAAGGUAGUUAACCUGCAGUGCAGUGAAGUUCAAGAUCGGGUCAUGCUCACUGGCCGCCACGUGGUUCGAGAUGUGAGCUGCAAAAACUGCAAUAGCAAACUGGGAUGUGGAUCUAUGAGUUUGCCACUGAAGGCAGCCAGCAAAGGCCGUGUGAUCCUGGAACGUGCUCUAGUUCGAGAGAGUGAGGGCUUUGAGGAGCAUGUACCAUCUGAUAACUCUUGAAGAAAAAGAGAUAAAUCCAUCUUUUCCCAGGUCUCCUUCACUGAGAUCAAAAAUCUACUUACAUACACUGUCACCUUAGCAUCAGAGUCAGAUUCAUGAACUGCGGAACAAGAGGUUGUGAGAAUCUAAGAUGGAACCUUCCUUUCUUUCUUUCUUUCUUUCUUUCUUUCUUUCUUUCUUUCUUUCUUUCUUUCUUUCUUUCUUUCUUUCUUUCUUUCUUUCUUUCUGUAUUUUACAUCCAACAGCAGUGUGUGGAGAGAAUAUUAUGCAUAUGCCGUUAAUUUUUUUCCCCUAUGUUUACAUCUUGAGGCAAAAGAGUCUGUCUGCAGCUACUUGGUGGGCUAUGUAAGGAAAAAAAUCUGGGCAAUUAGAGUGAAAAAGUGUGUUUGAUGUGAAUUUUGAAAGGAAAAUAUGUCAAGAGCAUGGUUUUUAAACUUAGUUGGACUUCAUUUAAUUUUUUUUUUAAAAAAAACCAGCUAUUUCACUUGAUUUGCUAGCUUCAGAGAAGAGAUCUGAAUCUGUGCCCAGUGCGAAAGGCUCAGUGUUAGCAUGGCUUGUGCUGGCCAGUGGGCCAUAUUCUUGCUGGAGAUGAGCCACAGCACCAGAGCCCAUUCUUCCUUGUCAGUCUUGACCCAAAGAUGUCACCAUUCCUAGUUAUUUGUCACCACAUAAUUGGUGUUGAUUGGAAACAUUUUCUGAAAUGGGCAGAACUGCUUGGUUGUCUUUUUUCCAUGUAACUUAAGCAUAGUAAUAUAAAUAAAGUAAUAGUUGGA